GAUGAACGCUGACAGAAUGCUUAACACAUGCAAGUCUUUGGCGAAUCUGUGCUUGCACAGGCUAGCCAAGGCGGACGGGUGAGUAACGCGUAAAGAACUUGCCCUGCAGACAGGGAUAACAGACGGAAACGACUGAUAACACCUGAUACAGUUGCCGGCACGCAUGUGCCUGGCAAUGAAAAGAGAUGCUGCAGGAGAGCUUUGCGUCCUAUUAGCUUGUUGGUGAGGUGACGGCUCACCAAGGCGAUGAUAGGUAGCCGGCCUGAGAGGGUGAACGGCCACAAGGGGACUGAGAUACGGCCCUUACUCCUACGGGAGGCAGCAGUGGGGAAUAUUGGACAAUGGGGGCAACCCUGAUCCAGCAAUUCUGUGUGCACGAAGAAGGUUUUCGGAGUGUAGAGUGCUUUCAGCAGGGAAGAAGAAAGUGACGGUACCUGCAGAAGAAGCGACGGCUAAAUACGUG
Molecule: ribosomal RNA, 463 nt
Filed under: uncultured bacterium
Lineage: Bacteria
Description: partial 16S ribosomal RNA
Rfam family: Bacterial small subunit ribosomal RNA
Source: RNAcentral